CUUGAGCGAACCGAGCCACAAGGGCCGUUCGGCGUCGCGUCCCUGGCCGUACGUCGCCAGCAGCGCCUGCGCCUC
This 75-nucleotide antisense RNA is filed under the name Streptomyces sp. TSRI0445. RNAcentral's name for it is "ASpks sRNA". It matches the Rfam family "ASpks TB sRNA". The record is from RNAcentral. Lineage: Bacteria; Bacillati; Actinomycetota; Actinomycetes; Kitasatosporales; Streptomycetaceae.